Molecule: ribosomal RNA, 496 nt
Filed under: uncultured bacterium
Lineage: Bacteria
Description: partial 16S ribosomal RNA
Rfam family: Bacterial small subunit ribosomal RNA
Source: RNAcentral
GAUGAACGCUGGCGGCGUGCCUAAUACAUGCAAGUCGAGCGAACAGACGAGGAGCUUGCUCCUCUGACGUUAGCGGCGGACGGGUGAGUAACACGUGGAUAACCUACCUAUAAGACUGGGAUAACUUCGGGAAACCGGAGCUAAUACCGGAUAAUAUAUUGAACCGCAUGGUUCAAUAGUGAAAGACGGUUUUGCUGUCACUUAUAGAUGGAUCCGCGCCGCAUUAGCUAGUUGGUAAGGUAACGGCUUACCAAGGCGACGAUGCGUAGCCGACCUGAGGGGGGGGUGGGCCAAUGGGGAAGUGGGAAACGGUACAGACGCCUAGGGGAGGCCAGAGGGGGUAAUCUGCCGAAAGGGGGGAAAGCCUGAGGGAGCAACGCCGGGGGGGUGAAGAAGGUCUUCGUAUGGUAAAACUCUUUUAUGGGGGAAAAACAAAUGUGAAAGUAACUAUGCACGUUUGGGGGGUACCUAAACAGAAAGCCACGGCAAAUUAGGU